GGCAAGGUGGUACAGUGGUUAGCACUGCUGUUUCACAGUAAGAAGGUUGUGGGUUCGACUCCGGCCUGGGGCC
This is a non-coding RNA of Gymnothorax javanicus (giant moray), 73 nucleotides long. The record is from the annotation of a GenBank genome assembly. NCBI's taxonomy places the organism in Eukaryota, Metazoa, Chordata, Actinopteri, Anguilliformes, Muraenidae.